This 407-nucleotide ribosomal RNA is filed under the name uncultured prokaryote. RNAcentral describes it as "bacterial SSU rRNA". It matches the Rfam family "Bacterial small subunit ribosomal RNA", at positions 355 to 776 of the family's 1533-position model. RNAcentral also lists the same sequence under 1 other name. The record is from RNAcentral.
UGGGGAAUAUUGGGCAAUGGGCGAAAGCCUGACCCAGCAACGCCGCGUGAGGGAAGAAGGUUUUCGGAUCGUAAACCUCUGUCCUUGGGGACGAAGGAAGUGACGGUACCCAAGGAGGAAGCCCCGGCUAACUACGUGCCAGCAGCCGCGGUAAUACGUAGGGGGCGAGCGUUGUCCGGAAUGAUUGGGCGUAAAGGGCGCGUAGGCGGCCUGUUAAGUCCGGAGUGAAAUUCCUGCUUUCAAGGUAGGAAGUGCUUUGGAAACUGGCGGGCUGGAGUGCAGGAGAGGUUAGCGGAAUUCCCGGUGUAGCGGUGAAAUGCGUAGAGAUCGGGAGGAACACCAGUGGCGAAGGCGGCUAACUGGACUGUAACUGUCGCUGAUGCGCGAAAGCGUGGGGAGCGAACAGG